This 563-nucleotide long non-coding RNA is filed under the name Salvator merianae (Argentine black and white tegu). RNAcentral's name for it is "lncRNA (ENSSMRG00000017416.1)". Lineage: Eukaryota; Metazoa; Chordata; Lepidosauria; Squamata; Teiidae. The record is from RNAcentral.
UUGGUUUAGGCUGCUUAUACUUCCUCCAUAAACAUAAACACCUCCCGACUGCAUUAUUAAGUUGAAAGAAGCAGCUUGUUGACAGUGCAUUGUAAAGUUUGAAGGCAGAAUAUGAAAGAAUGGCAUGUAAUUCCUUCUCCAUAGACUUGAUGCUGAGCUGGGUGAAAAGACUUCAGUGCACAAAUGUCGGCUGCCAGUGAGUCUGCUGUGUUAGGAACUGGGAGAAAAAACAAUCGUCUAACAGGACAGCUGAUGAAUUUUCAAGAUCAUUCAUGUGAGGGCAAGACUGCCAGUUCAAAAGGACAUUAGCCAAGUACUGAAGGAACUUGGUGAUGGACGGUGAUUAUGAACCUUUCAGAGCCUAUCCUGAUUCAACCCCUCUUAUCAAUGCAGAGUCAAAAGAAUGUUUUAUCUGUCGGGAAGGAGACGAGAUGGGCCGUGACGCUCUGCUGCACUUCUGUGACUGCAAAAACUUGAUUGCUCACCAGAAAUGUCUUUUAACUUGGAUACAAAAGGGUCUUCAGAAUGAAAGUACUCCGAAAUGCAAAGUGUGCACUGCUGAG